Molecule: non-coding RNA, 1033 nt
Organism: Chlorocebus sabaeus (green monkey)
Lineage: Eukaryota; Metazoa; Chordata; Mammalia; Primates; Cercopithecidae
Source: RefSeq, a predicted model, not a curated record
AUGGUGGUUUUACUAAGGCAGCCGCCCGCCGGCCCCGCCCUCAGCGCCGCCGACACUAAGCCUGGCAACACCGGCAGCGGCGCAGGGAGCUGUGGCCCGGGAGGCCUCACAAGGGCGGCGCCUGCCGGAACAAGAAGGUCAUCGCAAGGAAGGUUUUGGGAACAGUAAAAUGGUUGAAUGUAAGGAACGGAUAUGGUUUCAUCAACAGGAAUGACACCAAGGAAGAUGUAUUUGUACACCAGACUGCCAUAAAGAAGAAUAACCCCAGGAAGUAACUUCGCAGUGUAGGAGAUGGAGAGACUGUGGAGUUUGAUGUUGUUGAAGGAGAAAAGGGUGCGGAGGCAGCAAAUGUUACAGGUCCUGGUGGUGUUCCAGUUCAAGGCAGUAAAUAUGCAGCAGACCGUAACCAUUAUAGACGCUAUCCACCUCGUAGGGGUCCUCCAUGCAAUUACCAGCAAAAUUACCAGAAUAGUGAGAGUGGGGAAAAGAACGAGCGAUCGGAGUGUGCUCCCGAAGUCCAGGCCCAACAACACCGGCCCUACUGCAGGUGAAGGUUCCCACCUUACUACAUGCGGAGACCCUAUGGGCGUCGACCACAGUAUUCCAACCCUCCUGUGCAGGGAGAAGUGACGGAGGGUGCUGACAACCAGGGUGCAGGAGAACAAGGCAGACCAGUGAGGCAGAAUAUGUAUCGGGGAUAUAGACCACGAUUCCGCAGGGGCCCUCCUCGCCAAAGACAGCCUAGAGAGGACGGCAACGAAGAAGAUAAAGAAAAUCAAGGAGAUGAGACCCAAGGUCAGCAGCCACCUCAACGUCGGUACCGCCGCAACUUCAAUGACCCACGCAGACGCCCAGAAAACCCUAAACCACAAGAUGGCAAAGAGACAAAAGCAGCCGAUCCACCAGCUGAGAAUUCGUCCGCUCCCGAGGCUGAGCAGGGCGGGGCUGAGUAAAUGCCGGCUUACCAUCUCUACCAUCAUCCGGUUUAGUCAUCCAACAAGAAGAAAUAUGAAAUUCCAGCAAUAAGAAAUGA